Non-coding RNA from Meleagris gallopavo (turkey), 298 nucleotides. The record is from RefSeq and is a predicted model, not a curated record. Lineage: Eukaryota; Metazoa; Chordata; Aves; Galliformes; Phasianidae.
GGGGUCAGAUGCUCGUAUUUUUAGAGAGGAGCCGCGCGGUGAUUGGUGCGUUGCUAAGCCCGCCCCGCUGCACGGCCGGGGAGCCCUUCGGUGUGCUCGAUUUGUGUUUCUUUGGACUAACAAAAGUGUAUUUUCCUCGGAAUUUCUGCCACCGAAUCGCCCCGUUUCCUCGGUGAGGGAGGAGAAGAGCAGCCCUCUAUGAUGUCAACACUAAACAUGUAUAUAACAUGAAUACGUUUGCUUUCAUCAAAAUUGGGUUUAAUCGAGCACAAAAGUCGCAACUAAAUGAUAUGAAGAU